UACGUAGGGGGCGAGCGUUGUCCGGAUUUACUGGGCGUAAAGAGCGCGUAGGCGGUCUGCCAAGUCGUGCGUGAAAUACCCCGGCUCAACCGGGGGGAGUCGUGCGAUACUGGUGGACUGGAGGCCGGAAGGGGGAAGCGGAAUUCCCGGUGUAGUGGUGGAAUGCGUAGAUAUCGGGAGGAACACCAGUGGCGAAGGCGGCUUCCUGGUCCGGUCCUGACGCUGAGGCGCGAAAGCGUGGGGAG
RNAcentral lists this ribosomal RNA (245 nucleotides) under uncultured bacterium. RNAcentral describes it as "partial 16S ribosomal RNA". It matches the Rfam family "Bacterial small subunit ribosomal RNA", at positions 524 to 768 of the family's 1533-position model. The record is from RNAcentral.